AUUGAACGCUGGCGGCAUGCCUUACACAUGCAAGUCGAACGGCAGCGGGGGAGAAGCUUGCUUUUCCUGCCGGCGAGUGGCGAACGGGUGAGUAAUACAUCGGAACGUGCCCUGUAGUGGGGGAUAACUAGUCGAAAGAUUAGCUAAUACCGCAUACGACCUGAGGGUGAAAGUGGGGGACCGCAAGGCCUCAUGCUAUAGGAGCGGCCGAUGUCUGAUUAGCUAGUUGGUGGGGUAAAGGCCUACCAAGGCCACGAUCAGUAGCUGGUCUGAGGAGACGAUCAGCCACACUGGAACUGAGACGCGGCCCAGACUCCUACGGGAGGCAGCAGUGGGGAAUUUUUGACAAUGGGCGAAAGCCUGAUCCAGCAAUGCCGCGUGUGUGAAGAAGGCCUUCGGAUUGUAAAGCACUUUUGUCCGGAAAGAAAUGGCUCUGGUUAAUACCUGGGGUCGAUGACGGUACCGGAAGAAUAAGGACCGGCUAACUACGUGCCAGCCGCCGCGGUAA
This 508-nucleotide ribosomal RNA is filed under the name uncultured bacterium. Its description in RNAcentral is "partial 16S ribosomal RNA". It matches the Rfam family "Bacterial small subunit ribosomal RNA", at positions 30 to 523 of the family's 1533-position model. The record is from RNAcentral.